Molecule: long non-coding RNA, 465 nt
Organism: Selaginella moellendorffii
Lineage: Eukaryota; Viridiplantae; Streptophyta; Lycopodiopsida; Selaginellales; Selaginellaceae
Exons: 5
Source: RefSeq, a predicted model, not a curated record
GGAUGAUGGUUUUCUCGCAGAAGUGAACGCUCAACUUCGUCAGGCCAAAAAAGAUGCUGAUAAGCCCGGAUUGCUGGCUUUGCUACAAAAAGUGCUACAACUUUAUGCAGCAACGUUUCUUGCAAAGACAAGCUAUGCCAAGAGAGAUGGAGUCGUAGACGAAGCUGAGGAACUGCUCGAGAAUAUAAUCUCAGGUGACAGCGAAGCUUGGGAUAGCAUGAUAAGGUCCGGAGUGGACUUGGGCGGUGGCCCAGUUAAGAGCGUAGAUCUUCGCAAAAUGGCUAAGAAACGCAUUGAGCGAAUUUUUCUUAGAACAGAAGGUGGCUCUUACAAGCAAAGAAUUCUCAUUGAGUACUUGAAAGAGAUUGAGAGAAGCGUGGAUAUGGUUGUAGCAGCCUUUUCUUCCUGAGAUGUUUAUAAACAUUUUUUUUCUUUAUUACAUAUAAACACUUUUUAUUCUUUUUA